GAUGGACGCUGGCGGCGUGCCUAAUACAUGCAAGUCGAGCGAACGGACGAGAAGCUUGCUUCUCUGAUGUUAGCGGCGGACGGGUGAGUAACACGUGGAUAACCUACCUAUAAGACUGGGAUAACUUCGGGAAACCGGAGCUAAUACCGGAUGAUAUUUUGAACCGCAUGGUUCAAAAGUGAAAGACGGUCUUGCUGUCACUUAUAGAUGGAUCCGCGCUGCAUUAGCUAGUUGGUAAGGUAUCGGCUUACCAAGGCAACGAUGCAUAGCCGACCUGAGAGGGUGAUCGGCCACACUGGAACUGAGACACGGUCCAGACUCCUACGGGAGGCAGCAGUAGGGAAUCUUCCGCAAUGGGCGAAAGCCUGACGGAGCAACGCCGCGUGAGUGAUGAAGGUCUUCGGAUCGUAAAACUCUGUUAUUAGGGAAGAACAUAUGUGUAAGUAACUGUGCACAUCUUGACGGUACCUAAUCAGAAAGCCACGGCUAACUACGUG
Molecule: ribosomal RNA, 497 nt
Filed under: uncultured bacterium
Lineage: Bacteria
Description: partial 16S ribosomal RNA
Rfam family: Bacterial small subunit ribosomal RNA
Source: RNAcentral